CAGAGAUCAUGCCCUCACGGGUAGACCUCCCACCCUGUGUAAUUUACUCUUGUUGCUUUGGCAGGCCGCCUUCGGGCUCCCGGCUCCGGCUGGGGUGCGCCUGCCAGAGGACCUCAACUCUUUGUUUUAGUGUCGUCUGAGUACUAUAUAAUAAGUUA
Molecule: unclassified non-coding RNA, 158 nt
Filed under: uncultured Scleropezicula
Lineage: Eukaryota; Fungi; Ascomycota; Leotiomycetes; Helotiales; Dermateaceae
Description: sequence contains ITS1
Source: RNAcentral